This 923-nucleotide ribosomal RNA is filed under the name Betta prima. RNAcentral's name for it is "partial 16S ribosomal RNA". The stretch from base 156 to 661 matches the Rfam family "Bacterial large subunit ribosomal RNA", at positions 573 to 1301 of the family's 2925-position model. The record is from RNAcentral. Lineage: Eukaryota; Metazoa; Chordata; Actinopteri; Anabantiformes; Osphronemidae.
UUAUUAAUACCCUCAAAAACACUCUAUUCUAAUAAACAAACCAUUUUUCCCCCUAAGUAUGGGCGACAGAAAAGGAACAUCCAGCGCUAUAGAAAAAGUACCGCAAGGGAACGCUGAAAAAGAAAUGAAACAAAUCGGUAAAGUUUAAAAAAGCAGAGAUUUACACUCGUACCUUUUGCAUCAUGAUUUAGUCAGUAAAAACAAGCAAAAAGCACUUUAGUUUGAUUUCCCGAAACUAAGUGAGCUACUCCAAGACAGCCUAAAACAGGGCUAACCCGUCUCUGUGGCAAAAGAGUGGGAUGAGCUUCGAGUAGAGGUGAUAAACCUACCGAACUUAGUUAUAGCUGGUUGCCUGAGAAAUGAAUAAAAGUUCAGCUUUUUGGUUUCUCUCUUCAAUCUGCUUAGCUAUAACUGAGCCAAAGAAGCCAAAAAAGUUAAUUAAAGGGGGUACAGCUCCUUUAAACAAGAUACAACUUUAUCAGCCGGGUAAAGAUCAUAUAAUAACCAAGGUAAAAUGUUCUAGUGGGCCUAAAAGCAGCCACCUAUAAGAAAGCGUCAAAGCUCCUCCAUACCACCACCUCCCACCAAUUCAGAUAAUGCACUCUAAACCCGCUAAUUCUAUCAAGCCGCCCCAUGCUAUCAUGGGGGUGAUUAUGCUAAAAUGAGUAAUAAGAAAAGCCACCUUUUCUCCUUGCAUUCGUGUAAAUCGAAACGGACUCCCCAUCGAACAUUAAUCGGCCCCAAAAAAAGAGGGCAAUGAGCCAUCAACUCCUAUAACAAGAAAAACACCCAAACACCAACCGUUAACCUCACACUAGUGUGCUUAUAAGGAAAGACUAAAAGAAAAAGAAGGAACUCGGCAAAUACAAGCCCCGCCUGUUUACCAAAAACAUCGCCUCUUGAAAACUAAAUAUAAGAGGUCC